GCAAGUCGAAUGGGUUUAGACCCAUGGCAGACGAGGUAGUAACACGUAGGUACGUACCCCAAAGUCGGGAAUAAUCGGUCGAAAGAUCGGAUAAUACCCGAUGGUCCCGCAAGGGUAAAGAUUUAUCGCUUUGGGAGCGGCCUGCGUAGUAUCAGCUUGUUGGUAAGGUAAAAGCUUACCAAGGCUAUGACGCUUAGGGGAGGUGAGAGCCUGACC
RNAcentral lists this ribosomal RNA (216 nucleotides) under uncultured bacterium. Its description in RNAcentral is "partial 16S ribosomal RNA". It matches the Rfam family "Bacterial small subunit ribosomal RNA", at positions 57 to 305 of the family's 1533-position model. The record is from RNAcentral.